This 118-nucleotide ribosomal RNA is filed under the name Boodleopsis sp. FL1161. The record is from RNAcentral. Lineage: Eukaryota; Viridiplantae; Chlorophyta; Ulvophyceae; Bryopsidales; Halimedaceae.
UCUAGUGUUUAAAUUCAAUUGGAAACACUUCAAUCCUUUUCGAAUUUGAAAGUUAAGCAGUUGAAAGGUUUUUAUACUACAGAGGAUGCUUUGUGGAAAAAAUACCUAAUGCUAGAAG